GCUGAGAGGUGGGAGUGCUCGAAAGAGAACCGGCGCACAGGUGCUGCAUGGCUGUCGUCAGCUCGUGUCGUGAGAUGUUGGGUUAAGUCCCGCAACGAGCGCAACCCUUGUCCUUAGUUGCUACGCAAGAGCACUCUAAGGAGACUGCCGGUGACAAACCGGAGGAAGGUGGGGAUGACGUCAAGUCCUCAUGGCCCUUAUGGGUAGGGCUUCACACGUCAUACAAUGGUCGGAACAGAGGGUUGCCAACCCGCGAGGGGGAGCUAAUCCCAGAAAACCGAUCGUAGUCCGGAUUGCACUCUGCAACUCGAGUGCAUGAAGCUGGAAUCGCUAGUAAUCGCGGAU
Molecule: ribosomal RNA, 345 nt
Filed under: Burkholderia sp. VA59
Lineage: Bacteria; Pseudomonadati; Pseudomonadota; Betaproteobacteria; Burkholderiales; Burkholderiaceae
Description: bacterial SSU rRNA
Rfam family: Bacterial small subunit ribosomal RNA
Source: RNAcentral